Molecule: non-coding RNA, 577 nt
Organism: Arvicanthis niloticus (Nile rat)
Lineage: Eukaryota; Metazoa; Chordata; Mammalia; Rodentia; Muridae
Source: RefSeq, a predicted model, not a curated record
UCCAGAUCAGCCAUGACCUCUCAGAUUCGUCAGAAUUAUUCCACCGAAGUGGAAGCUGCCGUGAACCGCCUGUUCAACUUGCACCUGCAGGCCUCCUACACCUACCUCUCUCUGGGCUUCUUCUUCAAUCAGGAUGACAUAGCUUUGGAGGGCUUAGGCCACUUAUUCCGUGAAUUGGCUGAGGAGACAUGCGAGGGCGCCGAGUGUCUCCUCAAGUUGCAGAACAAUCACAGGCCGUGUACUCUUCCAGCAUGUGCAGAAGCCAUCUCAGGAUGAAUUGGGUAAAACCCAGGAGGCCAUGGAAGCUGCCUUGGCCCUGGAGAAGAACCUGAUCCAGGCCCUCUUGGAUCUGCAUGCCCUGGGAUCUGCCCGUACAGACCCUCAUCUCUGUGACUUCCUGGAAAGCCACUUCCUGGAUAAGGAGGUGAAGCUCAUCAAGAAGAUGGGCAACCACCUGACCAACCUCCGUAGGCUGGCAGGGCCAUAACCAGCAGAGACUGGCAUGCCCCAGGCAUCUCUGGGAGAGUAUAUCUUUGAGCGCCUCACUGUCAUGCACGACUAGGAGGCCUCUGUGCCU